CGGGGUGCAGCAGGCGCGAAAACUUUACAAUGCGGGAAACCGUGAUAAGGGGACACCGAGUGCCAGCAUCAUAUGCUGGCUGUCCAGGUGUGUAAAAUACACCUGUUAGCAAGGGCCGGGCAAGACCGGUGCCAGCCGCCGCGGUAACACCGGCGGCCCGAGUGGUGAUCGUGAUUAUUGGGUCUAAAGGGUCCGUAGCCGGUUUGGUCAGUCCUCCGGGAAAUCUGAUAGCUUAACUAUUAGGCUUUCGGAGGAUACUGCCAGACUUGGAACCGGGAGAGGUAAGAGGUACUACAGGGGUAGGAGUGAAAUCUUGUAAUCCCUGUGGGACCACCUGUGGCGAAGGCGUCUUACCAGAACGGGUUCGACGGUGAGGGACGAAAGCUGGGGGCACGAACCGGAUUAGAUACCCGGGUAGUCCCAGCCGUAAACGAUGCUCGCUAGGUGUCAGGCAUGGCGCGACCGUGUCUGGUGCCGCAGGGAAGCCGUGAAGCGAGCCACCUGGGAAGUACGGCCGCAAGGCUGAAACUUAAAGGAAUUGGCGGGGGAGCACAAGGGCGAUUCGC
RNAcentral lists this ribosomal RNA (566 nucleotides) under uncultured archaeon. Its description in RNAcentral is "bacterial SSU rRNA". It matches the Rfam family "Archaeal small subunit ribosomal RNA", at positions 326 to 894 of the family's 1478-position model. The record is from RNAcentral.